RNAcentral lists this non-coding RNA (338 nucleotides) under Vitis vinifera (wine grape). RNAcentral describes it as "Bacterial large subunit ribosomal RNA". It matches the Rfam family "Bacterial large subunit ribosomal RNA", at positions 46 to 397 of the family's 2925-position model. The record is from Rfam by way of RNAcentral. Lineage: Eukaryota; Viridiplantae; Streptophyta; Magnoliopsida; Vitales; Vitaceae.
ACGAGGAAGGGUUUUGUAAGCGACGAAAUGCUUCAGGGAGUUGAGAAUUAGCAUAAAUCCGAAGAUUCCCGAAUAGGCCAACCUUUCGAACUGUUAUUGAAUCCAUGGGCAAGCAAGAGACAAUCUGACAAAUUGAAACAUCUUAAUAGCCAAUGGAAAAAAAAGCAAAAGUGAUUCCCAUGGUAGCAACAAGAGAAAUGGGAGCAACCUAAACCAUGAAAACGGGGUUGUGGGAGAGCAAUACAAAUGUCAUGAUAUUUAAUCAAAACGUUAAACUUAUGUAAUUAUAGGUCAAAUUUUAGAUAAUGAUAAUCUUGUUAUCAAUCGAGAUGGAUUAU